This 240-nucleotide ribosomal RNA is filed under the name Lactobacillus delbrueckii subsp. bulgaricus. RNAcentral describes it as "partial 23S ribosomal RNA". It matches the Rfam family "Bacterial large subunit ribosomal RNA", at positions 1 to 240 of the family's 2925-position model. The record is from RNAcentral. Lineage: Bacteria; Bacillati; Bacillota; Bacilli; Lactobacillales; Lactobacillaceae.
AGGUCAAGUGAAGAAGGGCGCACGGUGAAUGCCUUGGCACUGGAAGCCGAUGAAGGACGCGACUAACCGCGAAAGUCUUCGGGGAGCCGUAAGUAGGCUUUGAUCCGGAGGUCUCCGAAUGGGGGAACCCAGCAUGUGCAGACAUGCUAUCCUUAAGUGAAUACAUAGCUUAAGGAGGGAACACGCAGUGAACUGAAACAUCUAAGUAGCUGCAGGAAGAGAAAGAAAUAUCGAUUUCCC